RNAcentral lists this ribosomal RNA (440 nucleotides) under uncultured bacterium. RNAcentral describes it as "bacterial SSU rRNA". It matches the Rfam family "Bacterial small subunit ribosomal RNA", at positions 958 to 1397 of the family's 1533-position model. The record is from RNAcentral.
AACGCGAAGAACCUUACCCAGACUUGACAUCCCUGAAAUCCCGUAGAGAUAUGGGAGUGCUCGCAAGAGAAUCGGGAGACAGGUGCUGCAUGGCUGUCGUCAGCUCGUGUCGUGAGAUGUUGGGUUAAGUCCCGCAACGAGCGCAACCCUCGCCUUCAGUUGCCAUCAUUCAGUUGGGCACUCUGGAGGGACUGCCGGUGUCAAGCCGGAGGAAGGUGGGGAUGACGUCAAGUCCUCAUGGCCUUUAUGUCUGGGGCUACACACGUGCUACAAUGGCCGGUACAAAGGGCAGCAAAAGCGCGAGCUCGAGCCAAUCCCAGAAAACCGGUCCCAGUUCGGAUCGAAGUCUGCAACUCGACUUCGUGAAGUCGGAAUCGCUAGUAAUCGCGGAUCAGAACGCCGCGGUGAAUACGUUCCCGGGCCUUGUACACACCGAUAGC